Molecule: ribosomal RNA, 453 nt
Filed under: uncultured Porphyromonadaceae bacterium
Lineage: Bacteria; Pseudomonadati; Bacteroidota; Bacteroidia; Bacteroidales; Porphyromonadaceae
Description: partial 16S ribosomal RNA
Rfam family: Bacterial small subunit ribosomal RNA
Source: RNAcentral
ACGGGAGGCAGCAGUGAGGAAUAUUGGUCAAUGGGCGAGAGCCUGAACCAGCCAAGUCGCGUGAAGGAUGAAGGUUCUAUGGAUUGUAAACUUCUUUUGUUCGAGGGUAAAGUGAGUCACGUGUGAUUUAUUGCAAGUAUCGAACGAAUAAGCAUCGGCUAACUCCGUGCCAGCAGCCGCGGUAAUACGGAGGAUGCGAGCGUUAUCCGGAUUUAUUGGGUUUAAAGGGUGCGUAGGCGGGAUGUUAAGUCAGCGGUUAAAUAGUGUAGCUCAACUAUACUUUGCCGUUGAAACUGGCGUUCUUGAGUGUAAACGAGGUAGGCGGAAUGUGACGUGUAGCGGUGAAAUGCUUAGAUAUGUCACAGAACCCCGAUUGCGAAGGCAGCUUACCAGCAUACAACUGACGCUGAGGCACGAAAGCGUGGGUAUCAAACAGGAUUAGAUACCCUGGUA